Molecule: ribosomal RNA, 473 nt
Filed under: uncultured bacterium
Lineage: Bacteria
Description: SSU rRNA
Rfam family: Bacterial small subunit ribosomal RNA
Source: RNAcentral
AGGACGAACGCUGGCGGCGUGCUUAACACAUGCAAGUCGAGCGGAAAGGCCCUUCGGGGUACUCGAGCGGCGAACGGGUGAGUAACACGUGAGCAACCUGCCCUUAGCUCCGGGAUAGCUCCGGGAAACCGGAAUUAAUACCGGAUACGACCACGGCCGACAUCUGCUGUGGUGGAAAGGAUUCCGGCUAAGGAUGGGCUCGCGGCCUAUCAGCUAGUUGGUGGGGUAAUGGCCCACCAAGGCGACGACGGGUAGCCGGCCUGAGAGGGCGACCGGCCACACUGGGACUGAGACACGGCCCAGACUCCUACGGGAGGCAGCAGUGGGGAAUAUUGCGCAAUGGGCGAAAGCCUGACGCAGCGACGCCGCGUGGGGAUGAAGGCCUUCGGGUUGUAAACCCCUUUCAGCAGGGACGAAGCGAAAGUGACGGUACCUGCAGAAGAAGCGCCGGCUAACUACGUGCCAGCAGCCGC